Molecule: ribosomal RNA, 468 nt
Filed under: uncultured bacterium
Lineage: Bacteria
Description: partial 16S ribosomal RNA
Rfam family: Bacterial small subunit ribosomal RNA
Source: RNAcentral
GACGAACGCUGGCGGCGUGCUUAACACAUGCAAGUCGAGCGGAAAGGCCCUGCUUUUGUGGGGUGCUCGAGUGGCGAUCGGGUGAGUAACACGUGAGUAACCUGCCCUUGACUUUGGGAUAACUUCAGGAAACUGGGGCUAAUACCGGAUAGGAGCUCCUGCUGCAUGGUGGGGGUUGGAAAGUUUCGGCGGUUGGGGAUGGACUCGCGGCUUAUCAGCUUGUUGGUGGGGUAGUGGCUUACCAAGGCUUUGACGGGUAGCCGGCCUGAGAGGGUGACCGGCCACAUUGGGACUGAGAUACGGCCCAGACUCCUACGGGAGGCAGCAGUGGGGAAUAUUGCACAAUGGGCGGAAGCCUGAUGCAGCAACGCCGCGUGCGGGAUGACGGCCUUCGGGUUGUAAACCGCUUUCGCCUGUGACGAAGCGUGAGUGACGGUAAUGGGUAAAGAAGCACCGGCUAACUACGUG